RNAcentral lists this ribosomal RNA (253 nucleotides) under uncultured bacterium. RNAcentral describes it as "partial 16S ribosomal RNA". It matches the Rfam family "Bacterial small subunit ribosomal RNA", at positions 524 to 776 of the family's 1533-position model. The record is from RNAcentral.
UACGUAGGGGGCAGGCGUUAUCCGGAUUUACUGGGUGUAAAGGGAGCGUAGACGGCGAGACAAGUCUGAAGUGAAAUGCCAGUGCUCAACACUGGAACUGCUUUGGAAACUGCCUGGCUGGAGUGCGGGAGAGGUAAGUGGAAUUCCUAGUGUAGCGGUGAAAUGCGUAGAUAUUAGGAGGAACACCAGUGGCGAAGGCGGCUUACUGGACCGUAACUGACGUUGAGGCUCGAAGGCGUGGGGAGCAAACAGG